UGGGGGAUAUUGCACAAUGGGCGAAAGCCUGAUGCAGCGACGCCGCGUGGGGGAUGAAGGCUUUCGGGUUGUAAACCUCUUUCGCUAUCGAACAAGGCCCGCUUAGGGUGGGUUGAGGGUAGGUGGAGAAGAAGCGCCGGCUAACUACGUGCCAGCAGCCGCGGUAAUACGUAGGGCGCGAGCGUUGUCCGGAAUUAUUGGGCGUAAAGGGCUUGUAGGCGGCUUGUUGCGCCUGCUGUGAAAACGCGGGGCUUAACUUCGGGCGUGCAGUGGGGACGGGCAGGCUUGAGUGUGGUAGGGGUGACUGGAAUUCCAGGUGUAGCGGUGGAAUGCGCAGAUAUCUGGAGGAACACCGAUGGCGAAGGCAGGUCACUGGGCCAUUACUGACGCUGAGGAGCGAAAGCAUGGGUAGCGAACAGG
RNAcentral lists this ribosomal RNA (420 nucleotides) under Fusobacteriota bacterium. Its description in RNAcentral is "Fusobacteria bacterium partial 16S ribosomal RNA". It matches the Rfam family "Bacterial small subunit ribosomal RNA", at positions 355 to 776 of the family's 1533-position model. The record is from RNAcentral. Lineage: Bacteria; Fusobacteriati; Fusobacteriota.